RNAcentral lists this ribosomal RNA (118 nucleotides) under Peromyscus maniculatus bairdii (prairie deer mouse). The record is from RNAcentral. Lineage: Eukaryota; Metazoa; Chordata; Mammalia; Rodentia; Cricetidae.
GUUGACAGCCACACCCCCAGCCCUGCACGGUCUCAUUUCAUUUGUUCUCAGAAGCUAAGCAGGGUCCCGCCUGUUUGGUAUUUGGUUGGGAGACCCAGGGAGAAGUCUGUUGUUAAUC